RNAcentral lists this transfer RNA (54 nucleotides) under Dipodomys ordii (Ord's kangaroo rat). It matches the Rfam family "tRNA", at positions 1 to 53 of the family's 71-position model. Rfam says of the family: Transfer RNA (tRNA) molecules are approximately 80 nucleotides in length. Their secondary structure includes four short double-helical elements and three loops (D, anti-codon, and T loops). Further hydrogen bonds mediate the characteristic L-shaped molecular structure. tRNAs have two regions of fundamental functional importance: the anti-codon, which is responsible for specific mRNA codon recognition, and the 3' end, to which the tRNAs corresponding amino acid is attached (by aminoacyl-tRNA synthetases). tRNAs cope with the degeneracy of the genetic code in two manners: having more than one tRNA (with a specific anti-codon) for a particular amino acid; and 'wobble' base-pairing, i.e. permitting non-standard base-pairing at the 3rd anti-codon position. The record is from Rfam by way of RNAcentral. Lineage: Eukaryota; Metazoa; Chordata; Mammalia; Rodentia; Heteromyidae.
GGGAAGGUGACUCAGUGGUAGAGUGCUUGCCUUGCAUGCAUGAGGCCCUGGGUU